Molecule: ribosomal RNA, 671 nt
Filed under: Salmonella enterica subsp. enterica
Lineage: Bacteria; Pseudomonadati; Pseudomonadota; Gammaproteobacteria; Enterobacterales; Enterobacteriaceae
Description: partial 23S ribosomal RNA
Rfam family: Bacterial large subunit ribosomal RNA
Source: RNAcentral
AGAACCCCGGCGAGGGGAGUGAAAAAGAACCUGAAACCGUGUACGUACAAGCAGUGGGAGCACAGGUUUACCUGUGUGACUGCGUACCUUUUGUAUAAUGGGUCAGCGACUUAUAUUCUGUAGCAAGGUUAACCGAAUAGGGGAGCCGGAGGGAAACCGAGUCUUAAUUGGGCGUUAAGUUGCAGGGUAUAGACCCGAAACCCGGUGAUCUAGCCAUGGGCAGGUUGAAGGUUGGGUAACACUAACUGGAGGACCGAACCGACUAAUGUUGAAAAAUUAGCGGAUGACCUGUGGCUGGGGGUGAAAGGCCAAUCAAACCGGGAGAUAGCUGGUUCUCCCCGAAAGCUAUUUAGGUAGCGCCUCGUGAAUUCAUCUCCGGGGGUAGAGCACUGUUUCGGCUAGGGGGCCAUCCCGGCUUACCAACCCGAUGCAAACUGCGAAUACCGGAGAAUGUUAUCACGGGAGACACACGGCGGGUGCUAACGUCCGUCGUGAAGAGGGAAACAACCCAGACCGCCAGCUAAGGUCCCAAAGUCAUGGUUAAGUGGGAAACGAUGUGGGAAGGCCCAGACAGCCAGGAUGUUGGCUUAGAAGCAGCCAUCAUUUAAAGAAAGCGUAAUAGCUCACUGGUCGAGUCGGCCUGCGCGGAAGAUGUAACGGGGCUAAACCAU